This 289-nucleotide unclassified non-coding RNA is filed under the name Hevea brasiliensis (rubber tree). The record is from RNAcentral. Lineage: Eukaryota; Viridiplantae; Streptophyta; Magnoliopsida; Malpighiales; Euphorbiaceae.
UGAAAUCUUGAGGUGCUCCUCCACCGUAGCAGCUACCUGAUCUGCACCUUCAGAGCGCCAUUUCACCUCGUUGUAAAAGCAUCUCGUAGCGUCGAUUAAUAGGUUUUUGACAUAGUCGACAUGCUUGUUCCCUUGGAGUUUAAGAUCAGUUUCUAUGGAUUUCAUGGUGGUCAGUACUUUCUUGUAGAAGAACUUCAUGUAGCCUGGAAGUUCUUCAGCGGCUUCCUCAUCCCAUCUUUCAAUUGCUUCUGUGAACAGCUUGCUUUCUUCCAAGGUGCUGUAGUUGUCG